UGCGCACGUAGCUCAGUGGAUAGAGCACGAGCCUUCUAAGCUUGGGGUCGGGGGUUCGAAUCCUCCCGUGCGCGA
Molecule: transfer RNA, 75 nt
Filed under: Gammaproteobacteria bacterium
Lineage: Bacteria; Pseudomonadati; Pseudomonadota; Gammaproteobacteria
Description: tRNA-Arg
Rfam family: tRNA
About the family: Transfer RNA (tRNA) molecules are approximately 80 nucleotides in length. Their secondary structure includes four short double-helical elements and three loops (D, anti-codon, and T loops).
Source: RNAcentral